ACGAACGCUGGCGGCGUGCUUAACACAUGCAAGUCGAACGGUGAAGGGGCCUGCUUUUGUGGGUCCUGGAUGAGUGGCGAACGGGUGAGUAACACGUGAGUAACCUGCCCCUUCUUCUGGAUAACCGCAUGAAAGUGUGGCUAAUACGGGAUAUUCUGGGUCUGUCGCAUGGUGGGCCUGGGAAAGAUUGCGCCUUUUUUGGUGUUUUUGGUGGGGGAUGGGCUCGCGGCCUAUCAGCUUGUUGGUGGGGUGAUGGCCUACCAAGGCGGUGACGGGUAGCCGGCCUGAGAGGGUGGACGGUCACACUGGGACUGAGACACGGCCCAGACUCCUACGGGAGGCAGCAGUGGGGAAUAUUGCACAAUGGGCGCAAGCCUGAUGCAGCGACGCCGCGUGAGGGAUGGAGGCCUUCGGGUUGUGAACCUCUUUCGCCAGUGAAGCAGGCCUGCCUCGUUUGUGGGUGGGUUGACGGUAGCUGGAUAAGAAGCGCCGGCUAACUACGUG
RNAcentral lists this ribosomal RNA (504 nucleotides) under uncultured Actinomyces sp. RNAcentral describes it as "bacterial SSU rRNA". It matches the Rfam family "Bacterial small subunit ribosomal RNA", at positions 29 to 507 of the family's 1533-position model. The record is from RNAcentral. Lineage: Bacteria; Bacillati; Actinomycetota; Actinomycetes; Actinomycetales; Actinomycetaceae.